GAUGAAGAACGCAGCGAAAUGCGAUAAGUAAUGUGAAUUGCAGAAUUCAGUGAAUCAUCGAAUCUUUGAACGCACAUUGCGCCCCCUGGUAUUCCGGGGGGCAUGCCUGUCCGAGCGUCAUUGCUGCCCUCAAGCACGGCUUGUGUGUUGGGCUCCGUCCCCCCGGGGACGGGCCCGAAAGGCAGCGGCGGCACCGAGUCCGGUCCUCGAGCGUAUGGGGCUUUGUCACCCGCUCUGUAGGCCCGGCCGGCGCCAGCCGACAACCCAUCAUCCUUUUCAGGUUGACCUCGGAUCAGGUAGGGAUACCCGCUGAACUUAAGCAUACCAAUAAGCGGAGGA
Molecule: unclassified non-coding RNA, 339 nt
Filed under: soil metagenome
Description: partial contains 5.8S ribosomal RNA, internal transcribed spacer 2, and large subunit ribosomal RNA
Rfam family: 5.8S ribosomal RNA (bases 1-120)
Source: RNAcentral